Molecule: ribosomal RNA, 427 nt
Filed under: uncultured bacterium
Lineage: Bacteria
Description: bacterial SSU rRNA
Rfam family: Bacterial small subunit ribosomal RNA
Source: RNAcentral
UGGGGAAUCUUGCGCAAUGGGCGAAAGCCUGACGCAGCGACGCCGCGUGAGGGAAGAAGGCUUUCGGGUUGUAAACCUCUUUCAGGAGGGACGAAGCUACUCGGGUGAAUAGCCCAGAGGGUGACGGUACCUCCAGAAGAAGCCCCGGCUAACUACGUGCCAGCAGCCGCGGUAAUACGUAGGGGGCAAGCGUUGUCCGGAUUUAUUGGGCGUAAAGAGCGUGUAGGCGGCUAAAUAGGUCCGUUGUGAAAACUCGAGGCUCAACCUCGAGAUGCCGAUGGAAACCAUUUGGCUAGAGUCCGGAAGAGGAGAGUGGAAUUCCCGGUGUAGCGGUGAAAUGCGCAGAUAUCGGGAAGAACACCCGUGGCUAAGGCGGCUCUCUAGUACGGUACUGACGCUGAGACGCGAAAGCGUGGGGAGCGAACAG